UUCAAAGAUUCGAUGAUUCACUGAAUUCUGCAAUUCACAUUACUUAUCGCAUUUCGCUGCGUUCUUCAUCGAUGCGAGAGCCAAGAAAUCCGUUGUUGAAAGUUGUAUUUCGUUUCGCCCGCAAGGAGCGGUACAAUCUACAUAGACGAUUAAAGUGUGUAUGAUGGAGUGAAGGUGAUGUUCAAUCCCGAUCAAAUUCAGAAAGUGUGCUAUGCUAGUUUUUAAGUUGAGGGGAGAAAGGGUAGGGACUGGUUU
Molecule: ribosomal RNA, 255 nt
Filed under: Phellinus sp. 55-1
Lineage: Eukaryota; Fungi; Basidiomycota; Agaricomycetes; Hymenochaetales; Hymenochaetaceae
Description: 5.8S ribosomal RNA
Source: RNAcentral